RNAcentral lists this transfer RNA (64 nucleotides) under Armatobalanus allium. RNAcentral's name for it is "tRNA-Cys". Lineage: Eukaryota; Metazoa; Arthropoda; Thecostraca; Balanomorpha; Balanidae. The record is from RNAcentral.
GGUGGUAUAUUUUAAAAAAAAUUUUAUUUUGCAAAAGUAAAGAUACUUGGAUAAGUUACCAUCU